UGGGGAAUAUUGGACAAUGGGCGCAAGCCUGAUCCAGCCAUACCGCGUGGGUGAAGAAGGCCUUCGGGUUGUAAAGCCCUUUUGUUGGGAAAGAAAUCCAGCUGGUUAAUACCCGGUUGGGAUGACGGUACCCAAAGAAUAAGCACCGGCUAACUUCGUGCCAGCAGCCGCGGUAAUACGAAGGGUGCAAGCGUUACUCGGAAUUACUGGGCGUAAAGCGUGCGUAGGUGGUUAUUUAAGUCCGUUGUGAAAGCCCUGGGCUCAACCUGGGAACUGCAGUGGAUACUGGAUGACUAGAAUGUGGUAGAGGGUAGCGGAAUUCCUGGUGUAGCAGUGAAAUGCGUAGAGAUCAGGAGGAACAUCCAUGGCGAAGGCAGCUACCUGGACCAACAUUGACACUGAGGCACGAAAGCGUGGGGAGCAAACAGG
Molecule: ribosomal RNA, 429 nt
Filed under: uncultured Stenotrophomonas sp.
Lineage: Bacteria; Pseudomonadati; Pseudomonadota; Gammaproteobacteria; Lysobacterales; Lysobacteraceae
Description: bacterial SSU rRNA
Rfam family: Bacterial small subunit ribosomal RNA
Source: RNAcentral